RNAcentral lists this long non-coding RNA (1022 nucleotides) under Mus musculus (house mouse). RNAcentral describes it as "RIKEN cDNA 2210408F21 gene". Lineage: Eukaryota; Metazoa; Chordata; Mammalia; Rodentia; Muridae. The record is from RNAcentral.
CUCGGUAGCGAAGGGCUGGAGGCAAACACCGAGCUCCCCCUGAGCCGCCUGGGAGCAGGGAGGGUUCUGCUACCCUGAGGGGCCCUCCCCGCGGGGCAGAGGGGACCAGCCCAACAUGGCUUCCAACACAGAGACCAGAAGGACCCAAUAAGAGACCGAAGACACGACUGAUAAUACAGAAAGGAGGGUGAUGCUGUGUGCAAGGCAGAUACAAGAUGGUUUUUCCAUAAGAGGAAGUGAUCAUGGCAACCAUGACCUUCUCUGACCUUCUCUCUUCCAAGAGGCUGUUGGGAAGGUGGGAUGACCUAGGAUUGACCUUGGACUUGACAUCACAGAAGCCAUUUCAACCUUCACAGGUGGGAGGAAGUCACAGCAUCUACUUCUGAAUCUGUGCUUGCCUUGAGGAAAAACGGCAUGGCACAGGAAUGUGGACGCUUUCAACCAGAGGAUUCUGUACGACGGUGUCGGCACACAUGACAUGAAAUUACUGAAAUCAUAUUUGGCCGAGCAAGCAUGAAGACCACAGAAGGACAGAGAUGGGAGAUCGUCAUUAGUUUAACAAGGAGUGUUCCACUGACUGACCUCUUUUUGUUUUCAAAUGAAGAGGAGCCAAGAAUAGGACAGCUUGGGAAGGUGACAGGUUGCCAAGCUGCCAAGAACUCCUGCCUCUGCUCAUACUGCUCUGCUGAAGUACAUUUGCGACAUCAACCAUCAAAUUACAUAUAAAUAUCUCAUCCUCGUCUACGGCCAAACGUUGGUUUCUCAUUUCUAGAAGAUGAAAGAUGUGAUGACUCAGGAAAAACUGGAAUCUUAGUAACUGUGGUGGGCAUUGAGCCUUGCCGUCCACAAGAGAAAGCUUGCUGCUCGAGAUGUGAGUCUUCAGAUGUUCCUGCCGCCAUAUCUGACAGCUGCUGCCAAGAUUCCCUGGUGGGAUGGACUCUUAUACCUCAACAACCAGAAGCCCAAGUAAACUCUUCUAUAAAUUGAAUGACUCAUGCUUAAAAAAAAAAACAAAAAACAAA